UCUUAAACUGCUGACCUCAGGUGAUCUGCCUGCCUCAGCCUCCCAAAGUGUUGGGAUUAUAGAUGUGAACCACUGGGCGUGGCUCAGAAUCUCCUUUAAAUCCAUAAAUCCAUGCUUUCACCCCUUACAGGACAGUGCAAUCAUUAUUUCCCUCCCAGCUUUUGUGCUUACUGUCCAUGUGUCAUACGUCUACCUGUAUUUUAAACCCUAAGAGAUAGUUUUAGGCAGUCCACUAUUUAUUUAGCUUUCCCGUUUCCAUUCCUUUUAGGAAUGUUCCUCUUUCCUUCCCACAUCAAAUGUCCACCUGGAGAAUUCCCUCCAGGAUAUAUUUUAGGCCUGGUUGGCUGGUGACACAUUUUUAAAAUUUUUUAUUUUGCCCCCAAACUUAAGUUUACCCUCACUUUUGAAGAAUCUUCACACUGGGUAUAAAAAUCUAGAUUGGUAAUUAUUUCCUUUCAGCAUUUUAAAGCAGCCACUCAACUGUUCCAGCUAUUUGUUUUAGAGAGUCAGCUGCCAGCUUUAUUGCUCCCCUGAAGGUAAAAGUGUCUCUUUCUCUUUGGGUUUCAGCACUUUGCCGUGAUGUGCCUAGGUGCAGGUUUUUUGUCACUUUUAAUUUAUCCUCUUUGGGGUUCAAAGAUAUUAACACUUGUGGGUGAUGUCCCAACAGUUGUGGAAAGUCUUCAACUGUGAUAUCAUCCAAACGGCACUCCACCACUUCGCUCCCCUCUUCUGGGACUCCCAUUGGCUGUGUGCUGCAGCUUUCUCUUGCACUAUGUCUCUCAGGCACUUUUCACCUCUCUGUAAUCUAAUGUUUUCUACUGGCUUGUCUUCCAACACAGUAAUCCUUUCAUCUCUAUGUCUAAUGCAAUAUUAACUACAUCUAGGCAACUCUUCAUUCCUUAUUGUGUUUUUCAGCUUCAGCAUGUUUACAGAUUCUUACCCUCUAGCGGCAUUCUCCACCUUCUCAUUCAUAUUGAAUGUAUAAAUCAUCAAGUCCAUGUCUGAAACCCUGGUAUUUGGAUCACGUGUGACACUAUUUCUGUUGUCUUCUUAUUCUCUUUCCUUUCAGUCAUUUGGUUCUUUUUUUUCCAGUGUGUCUCGUCAAUUUUUAUGAGAGUCAAACCGUUUAUCUGUAAAGUUAUAGGAGCUCUGAUCUUUUCAUUGAAAAAAAGUUUAGUUCUCCUCUGGUAGAAAGGUGAGACAGGGCAGAUCACCCUGAGGCAGUCAAGGCUGAGAUGACUCAAGCCACAUCCAGACUUGGUGAGGGCUGGGCCCUCUCCAGUUUGCCCUUCAGGGGUCUCGCCUGGAAAUCUCAGCAUUUUCUCAAUGGCAGGCGCUGAAUUCCUGUUUUGUCUCCCUUGCCCAAGGAUGUCUCAGCUUUCCAGGCUUUUGCUACUAUCUUUGGGUUUUUUAUUUUUUUUUCAGAUGGGGUUUCACCAUGUUGGUCAGGCUGGUCUUGAACUCCUGACCUCAGGUGAUCCGCCCGCCUUGGCCACCAAAGUGCUUGGAUUACAGGCGUGAGCCAUGACGCCCGGCCUAUCUUUGGGUUUCUAAGCCUCCUGCCUUGAGCACAAGCAGCCACCAGGAAUGGGUACCUGCUGCAGGGUAAGCUGCACACACAGUUCUCCGAGGCACCGGCGUCCUGCAUGGAACUCACCCUUCUCCGAGGCUCCGGCGUCCUGCAGGGAACUCACCCUUCUCCGAGGUUCCGGUGUCCUGCAGGGAACUCACCCCCUUCUCUGAGGCACCAGUGUCCUGCAGGGAACUCGCCCUUCUCCGAGGCUCCGGCAUCCUGGCCAACACGACAGCUCAUAUGUUGCUGCUGGUCUCCCAGCCCAGUGACACUACGUGGGCUCUGGUUGCCACCUUCUUUCAGGCCUUAGAGCAGGACACCAGCAAAUGGCCCAGUACGAAAAAAUGUUGCGAAUGCAGGACUCACCCUUAUCCAAGUCUCAACUCACUAGGAUUUUGUUUCCUCAAAUCCUGUCUUAAUUGCUUUCUGAUGUCUUCAAAAAGCUCUUUUUAAAAAUAGAUUUUAUAUGGCCUUGAUAGUUCUUGGGAAGGAUUUGGUUUAAUACCAGUUUCUGUCUCAUACUCAGAAGUGGAAGGGCUCUCUUGGCCUUAGUGCCAUUUUUUUGGGAAACCUCUGCGCCAUGAGAGCGAAGUGGAGGAAGAAAGGAAUGCGCAGGCUGAAGCGCAAAAGAAGAAAGAUGAGGCAGAGGUUCAAGUAAACCGCUAGCUUGUUGCACCAUGGAGGCCACAGGAGCAGAAACACGGAAUGCCAGAUGCUGGGGAUGCUGGUACAAGUUGUGGGACUGCAUGCUACUGUCUAGAGCUUGUCUCAAUGGAUCUAGAACUUCAUCGCCAUCUGAUCACCAAUCACCUGAGACCCACCUUGCUCAUAACCAAAACUGCCCAUGUUGGUCCUUUGCCCUGGACCUGUGACACUCUGGACUAUUUCUAUGUUUACCUGUGGCCGAAUGUAACAACCAUAAAAUAAAUCACCUCUUCUGCUGUCUUAGCUGAAGAAUU
This is a long non-coding RNA of Sapajus apella (tufted capuchin), 2532 nucleotides long. RefSeq lists it as uncharacterized. Lineage: Eukaryota; Metazoa; Chordata; Mammalia; Primates; Cebidae. The record is from RefSeq and is a predicted model, not a curated record. The transcript is spliced from 2 exons.